Molecule: ribosomal RNA, 422 nt
Filed under: uncultured archaeon
Lineage: Archaea
Description: partial 16S ribosomal RNA
Rfam family: Archaeal small subunit ribosomal RNA
Source: RNAcentral
CUACGGGUUGCAGCAGUUAGGAAUAAUCUACAAUGCGCGCAAGCGUGAUAGUUUGAGUCAGAGUGCGCUUCAAAUUGAAGUGCUUUUAUGAAAUCUAAAAAGUUUCAUGAAUAAGGACUGGGUAAGACUAGUGCCAGCCGCCGCGGUAAUACUAGCGGUCCAAGUCGCAGCCAUUUUUAUUGGGUCUAAAACAUCCGUAGCUUGCUUAACAAGUUCCUUGUGAAAUUCUAUAUCUCAAAUAUAGAGCGGGCAGGGAGUACUAUUAAGCUAGAGACUGGAAGACGUAAGAAGUAUGUUCAAAGUAGCGGUAAAAUGUGUUAAUCUUGAACAGACUAACAAUAGCGAAGGCAUCUUACGAGGACAGUUCUGACAGUAAGGGAUGAAGGCUAGGGGCGCAAAACGGAUUAGAUACCCUAGUAGUC